UAACACAGUACUUCCUUUAAACAUUCUGUAUAUUUAAACGUUUAUAUGCAUACUCUAUUUAAUUAACAAGGAUUUCAUCUUCAGAUUUACGGGUUUCAAUCAAUAUAAUUAUGGAAAUAGAAUUUCUAACAGAAAGUCAAGAUUACAGUGUAGCAGAAUUCUAUGAUAAAUUUCACACACACUUACCGGUUAUGGUGCAAGUUAAUCAAGGAUUUCAAGGACAUAUUAUUGAGGACACAUUUGGAAAAGGGGAGAUACUCUAUAUAGCUGCUAUAUCAAAGCAGAAACGUGUUGUGGCAAAUGUUCACACCAGGAAACAUUGCAGAGUUCUGAGUAUCCCUGAAGCCUAUUCAGAAAAUCUAUGUAUGAUAAAGCACGGAAAACGUAAGUUAAUCUUCAUAAG
This is a long non-coding RNA of Mercenaria mercenaria, 403 nucleotides long. RefSeq lists it as uncharacterized. The record is from RefSeq and is a predicted model, not a curated record. NCBI's taxonomy places the organism in Eukaryota, Metazoa, Mollusca, Bivalvia, Venerida, Veneridae. The transcript has 3 exons.